RNAcentral lists this ribosomal RNA (404 nucleotides) under Fusobacteriota bacterium. RNAcentral describes it as "Fusobacteria bacterium partial 16S ribosomal RNA". It matches the Rfam family "Bacterial small subunit ribosomal RNA", at positions 355 to 776 of the family's 1533-position model. Lineage: Bacteria; Fusobacteriati; Fusobacteriota. The record is from RNAcentral.
UGGGGAAUAUUGCACAAUGGAGGGAACUCUGAUGCAGCGACGCCGCGUGAGUGAUGAAGGAAUUCGUUUCGUAAAACUCUGUUCUAUGGGAAGAAAAGGACUGUACCAUAGGAGAAAGCUCCGGCUAAAUACGUGCCAGCAGCCGCGGUAAUACGUAUGGAGCGAGCGUUGUCCGGAAUUAUUGGGCGUAAAGGGUGCGCAGGCGGCUUUACAAGUUGGAUGUGAAAUAUUGUGGCUCAACCACAAACGUGCAUCCAAAACUGCAAAGCUUGAGUUAAGGAGGGGUAAGUGGAAUUCCUGGUGUAGCGGUGGAAUGCGUAGAUAUCAGGAGGAAUACCGGUGGCGAAGGCGACUUACUGGAAUUAAACUGACGAUCAGGCACGAAAGCGUGGGGAACAAACAGG